CAGUCGCCACGGGAAUACGUAGGUGGCAAGCGUUGUCCGGAAUUAUUGGGCGUAAAGGGCUCGCAGGCGGUUUCUUAAGUCUGAUGUGAAAGCCCCCGGCUCAACCGGGGAGGGUCAUUGGAAACUGGGAAACUUGAGUGCAGAAGAGGAGAGUGGAAUUCCACGUGUAGCGGUGAAAUGCGUAGAGAUGUGGAGGAACACCAGUGGCGAAGGCGACUCUCUGGUCUGUAACUGACGCUGAGGAGCGAAAGCGUGGGGAGCGAACAGGAUUAGAGACCCCGGUAGUCCCUGUCUCUUAUAC
Molecule: ribosomal RNA, 301 nt
Filed under: uncultured bacterium
Lineage: Bacteria
Description: partial 16S ribosomal RNA
Rfam family: Bacterial small subunit ribosomal RNA
Source: RNAcentral